This 147-nucleotide unclassified non-coding RNA is filed under the name soil metagenome. Its description in RNAcentral is "partial internal transcribed spacer 1". The record is from RNAcentral.
CCGAGUCUACAACUCCCAAACCCCUGUGAACAUACCUAUAUGUUGCCUCGGCGGAUCAGCCCGCGCCCCGUAAAACGGGACGGCCCGCCGCAGGAUCCACAAACUCUGUUUUUAUUGUAACUUCUGAGUAACAAAACAAAUAAAUCA